This 101-nucleotide ribosomal RNA is filed under the name uncultured bacterium. RNAcentral's name for it is "partial 16S ribosomal RNA". The record is from RNAcentral.
AUACCCAAAGCCGGUGGCAUAACCGUAAGGAGUGAGCCGUCUAAGGUAGGACUGNAUGNAUUGGGGUUAAGUCGUAACAAGGCAUCCCUACGNAGNAACGU